Molecule: ribosomal RNA, 33 nt
Filed under: Scolecobasidium cordanae
Lineage: Eukaryota; Fungi; Ascomycota; Dothideomycetes; Venturiales; Sympoventuriaceae
Description: Ochroconis cordanae partial 28S ribosomal RNA
Source: RNAcentral
AUUGGCCUCGGAUCAGGUGGGGAUACCCGCUGA